GGUGCUUGCACUGGUCUAAGGAGUUGCGAACGGGUGAGUAACGCGUAGGUAACCUACCUCAUAGCGGGGGAUAACUAUUGGAAACGAUAGCUAAUACCGCAUGACAAUAGGGUACACAUGUACCCUAUUUAAAAGGGGCAAAUGCUUCACUAUGAGAUGGACCUGCGUUGUAUUAGCUAGUUGGUAAGGUAACGGCUUACCAAGGCGACGAUACAUAGCCGACCUGAGAGGGUGAUCGGCCACACUGGGACUGAGACACGGCCCAGACUCCUACGGGAGGCAGCAGUAGGGAAUCUUCGGCAAUGGGGGGAACCCUGACCGAGCAACGCCGCGUGAGUGAAGAAGGUUUUCGGAUCGUAAAGCUCUGUUGUUAGAGAAGAACGGUAAUGGGAGUGGAAAAUCCAUUACGUGACGGUAACUAACCAGAAAGGGACGGCUAACUACGUGCCAGCAGCCGCGGUAAUACGUAGGUCCCGAGCGUUGUCCGGAUUUAUUGGGCGUAAAGCGAGCGCAGGCGGUUUGAUAAGUCUGAAGUUAAAGGCUGUGGCUUAACCAUAGUUCGCUUUGGAAACUGUCAAACUUGAGUGCAGAAGGGGAGAGUGGAAUUCCAUGUGUAGCGGUGAAAUGCGUAGAUAUAUGGAGGAACACCGGUGGCGAAAGCGGCUCUCUGGUCUGUAACUGACGCUGAGGCUCGAAAGCGUGGGGAGCAAACAGGAUUAGAUACCCUGGUAGUCCACGCCGUAAACGAUGAGUGCUAGGUGUUAGGCCCUUUCCGGGGCUUAGUGCCGUAGCUAACGCAUUAAGCACUCCGCCUGGGGAGUACGACCGCAAGGUUGAAACUCAAAGGAAUUGACGGGGGCCCGCACNAGCGG
This 872-nucleotide ribosomal RNA is filed under the name Streptococcus sp. RNAcentral's name for it is "bacterial SSU rRNA". It matches the Rfam family "Bacterial small subunit ribosomal RNA", at positions 75 to 932 of the family's 1533-position model. The record is from RNAcentral. Lineage: Bacteria; Bacillati; Bacillota; Bacilli; Lactobacillales; Streptococcaceae.